This 420-nucleotide ribosomal RNA is filed under the name uncultured bacterium. Its description in RNAcentral is "partial 16S ribosomal RNA". It matches the Rfam family "Bacterial small subunit ribosomal RNA", at positions 360 to 773 of the family's 1533-position model. The record is from RNAcentral.
AAUUUUGGACAAUGGGGGAAACCCUGUUCCAGCCAUCCCGCGUGUAUGAUGAUGGCCUACGGGUUGUAAAGUACUUUUGCCAGAGAAGAAAAGGUACCUCCUAAUACGAGGUACUGCUGACGGUAUCUGCAGAACAAGCAUCGGCGAUCUACGUUCCAGCAGCCGCGGUAAUACGUAUGUUCCAGCGUUAAUCGGACUUACUGGGCGUAAAGCGUGUGUAGGCGGUUCGGAAGGAAAGAUGUGAAAUGCCAGGGCUCAACCUUGGAACUGCAUUUUUAACUGCCGAGCUAGAGUAUGUCAGAGGGGGGUAGAAUUCCACGUGUAGCAGUGAAAUGCGUAGAUAUGUGGAGGAAUACCGAUGGCGAAGGCAGCCCCCUGGGAUAAUACUGACGCUCAGACACGAAAGCGUGGGGAGCAAAC